This 253-nucleotide ribosomal RNA is filed under the name uncultured archaeon. Its description in RNAcentral is "partial 16S ribosomal RNA". It matches the Rfam family "Archaeal small subunit ribosomal RNA", at positions 474 to 726 of the family's 1478-position model. The record is from RNAcentral.
CCCCAGCACCACGAGUGGGGAUCGCAUUUAUUUGGCCUAAAGCGCUCGUAGCCGGUCAUGUAAAUCUUUUGUGAAAUCGUUGCGCUUAACGUAACGGCGCGCAGGAGAAACUGCAAGACUAGGGACUGGGAGGCGUCAAGGGUAUUCCUGGGGGAGCAGUAAAAUGCUAUAAUCCUAGGAGGACCACCUGUGGCGAAGGCGCUUGACGAGAACAGGUUCGACGGUGAGGGGCGAAAGCUAGGGGAGCGAUCCG